Molecule: unclassified non-coding RNA, 19 nt
Filed under: Mus musculus (house mouse)
Lineage: Eukaryota; Metazoa; Chordata; Mammalia; Rodentia; Muridae
Description: oocyte_clustered_small_RNA5325
Source: RNAcentral
UCAGCAGCACGAAGCAAGG